AGUGAACGCUGGCGGUAGGCCUAACACAUGCAAGUCGAACGGCAGCACAGUAAGAGCUUGCUCUUACGGGUGGCGAGUGGCGGACGGGUGAGGAAUACAUCGGAAUCUACUUUUUCGUGGGGGAUAACGUAGGGAAACUUACGCUAAUACCGCAUACGACCUACGGGUGAAAGCAGGGGAUCUUCGGACCUUGCGCGAUUGAAUGAGCCGAUGUCGGAUUAGCUAGUUGGCGGGGUAAAGGCCCACCAAGGCGACGAUCCGUAGCUGGUCUGAGAGGAUGAUAAGCCACACUGGAACUGAGACACGGUCCAGACUCCUACGGGAGGCAGCAGUGGGGAAUAUUGGACAAUGGGCGCAAGCCUGAUCCAGCCAUACCGCGUGGGUGAAGAAGGCCUUCGGGUUGUAAAGCCCUUUUGUUGGGAAAGAAAAGCAGCAGGUUAAUACCCCGCUGUUCUGACGGUACCCAAAGAAUAAGCACCGGCUAACUUCGG
RNAcentral lists this ribosomal RNA (491 nucleotides) under uncultured bacterium. RNAcentral describes it as "partial 16S ribosomal RNA". It matches the Rfam family "Bacterial small subunit ribosomal RNA", at positions 29 to 506 of the family's 1533-position model. The record is from RNAcentral.